GGACGUAGUAACUCCACCUUACGUCUGAUUACUGAGUCUGCUGUUGAUAGAACAACAAGGAUAAUUCACAUCACCAGGUGGCCUCUGCUGGUUGUGAUGCUGAUUCUUCUGCUUCUCUUUUGUCUGUGGACGAGGAAGAAGAAAGCUGCGAGCUCCACCACUGAACCACAUGAGUCCAGAGAGGCUGUGGAGGUGAGACAUUUGUCCUCAGAGACAGAACUCACCAAAGGGUCAUCGUCUGUUGUUAUUAAGUCAUGAAGAUAAUUCAGAAGUAACUUCAUCACUAACAUCUUUCUCCUUUUGAACCACCAAUAUUUAUUUACCACGUUUACUGCAAAUGUCCUUUGAAUCCAAAGAGCGAUUUAAAGGACAAAGAGUCGUAUUGACCAUCAGCUAAGCCCCUCCCCUUGGUUACUGUUGCUAGGUCUGUCCAGCUUCAGCAUCACAGCACGUAAACAUGGCGGUGAAAUGUCGGGAUGCAAACCAGCAACGUUUACAUUUCAGUCAUACAGACUUUUACUAAAUACGCUUGUGUCUUCACCAGAAGCACAUUUAGGAAAAGAUUAUGAAAUACUUGGUUAAGUUCAGGCAACAA
Gasterosteus aculeatus aculeatus (three-spined stickleback) is the source of this 595-nucleotide non-coding RNA. NCBI's taxonomy places the organism in Eukaryota, Metazoa, Chordata, Actinopteri, Perciformes, Gasterosteidae. The record is from RefSeq and is a predicted model, not a curated record.